UGAGGGUUAGUGUAGUGGUAACACGACGGGUUCUGGCCCCGUUAUCCAAGGUUCGAGUCCUUGACCCUCAGCCA
RNAcentral lists this transfer RNA (74 nucleotides) under Desulfobacterales bacterium CG23_combo_of_CG06-09_8_20_14_all_51_8. RNAcentral's name for it is "tRNA-Gln". It matches the Rfam family "tRNA". From Rfam's summary of the family: Transfer RNA (tRNA) molecules are approximately 80 nucleotides in length. Their secondary structure includes four short double-helical elements and three loops (D, anti-codon, and T loops). Further hydrogen bonds mediate the characteristic L-shaped molecular structure. tRNAs have two regions of fundamental functional importance: the anti-codon, which is responsible for specific mRNA codon recognition, and the 3' end, to which the tRNAs corresponding amino acid is attached (by aminoacyl-tRNA synthetases). tRNAs cope with the degeneracy of the genetic code in two manners: having more than one tRNA (with a specific anti-codon) for a particular amino acid; and 'wobble' base-pairing, i.e. permitting non-standard base-pairing at the 3rd anti-codon position. Lineage: Bacteria; Pseudomonadati; Thermodesulfobacteriota; Desulfobacteria; Desulfobacterales. The record is from RNAcentral.